GACGAACGCUGGCGACGUGCUUAACACAUGCAAGUCGAACGAAGAGCGACGGAAGCUUGCUUCUAUCAAUCUUAGUGGCGCACGGGUGAGUAACGCGUAAUCAACCUGCCCUUCAGAGGGGGACAACAGUUGGAAACGACUGCUAAUACCGCAUACGAUCUAAUCUCGGCAUCGAGGAUGGAUGAAAGGUGGCCUCUACAUGUAAGCUAUCACUGAAGGAGGGGAUUGCGUCUGAUUAGCUAGUUGGAGGGGUAACGGACCACCAAGGCGAUGAUCAGUAGCCGGUCUGAGAGGAUGAACGGCCACAUUGGGACUGAGACACGGCCCAGACUCCUACGGGAGGCAGCAGUGGGGAAUCUUCCGCAAUGGACGAAAGUCUGACGGAGCAACGCCGCGUGAGUGAUGACGGCCUUCGGGUUGUAAAGCUCUGUUAAUCGGGACGAAAGGCCUUCUUGCGAAUAGUGAGAAGGAUUGACGGUACCGGAAUAGAAAGCCACGGCUAACUACGUG
Molecule: ribosomal RNA, 510 nt
Filed under: uncultured bacterium
Lineage: Bacteria
Description: partial 16S ribosomal RNA
Rfam family: Bacterial small subunit ribosomal RNA
Source: RNAcentral